This 23-nucleotide non-coding RNA is filed under the name Arabidopsis thaliana (thale cress). The record is from RNAcentral. Lineage: Eukaryota; Viridiplantae; Streptophyta; Magnoliopsida; Brassicales; Brassicaceae.
UGCAUGCAACAGAUGGCAGCAGG